UACGGGGGGGGGAAGCGUUGUUCGGAAUUACUGGGCGUAAAGGGCUCGUAGGCGGCCAACUAAGUCGGACGUGAAAUCCCUCAGCUUAACUGGGGAACUGCGUCCGAUACUGGAUGGCUUGGAUUUGGGAGAGGGAUGCGGAAUUCCAGGUGUAGCGGUGAAAUGCGUAGAUAUCGGGAGGAACACCAGUGGCGAAGGCGACUACCUGGCCUGUUCUUGACGCUGAGGCGCGAAAGCUAGGGGAGCAAACGGG
RNAcentral lists this ribosomal RNA (253 nucleotides) under uncultured bacterium. Its description in RNAcentral is "partial 16S ribosomal RNA". It matches the Rfam family "Bacterial small subunit ribosomal RNA", at positions 524 to 776 of the family's 1533-position model. The record is from RNAcentral.